Molecule: ribosomal RNA, 411 nt
Filed under: uncultured bacterium
Lineage: Bacteria
Description: bacterial SSU rRNA
Rfam family: Bacterial small subunit ribosomal RNA
Source: RNAcentral
GACGAACGCUGGCGGCGUGCUUAACACAUGCAAGUCGAGCGAGAAACCCUCUUCAGAGGGGAGUACAGCGGCGAACGGGUGAGUAACACGUGGGCAACCUGCCCCAAGGAGCGGGACAACCCGGGGAAACCCGGGCUAAUACCGCAUGAUCCGCGGUGCCUCAAGGCACUUCGGUAAAUGGUAGCUUCGGCCUCCGCCUUGGGAUGGGCCCGCGGCGCAUUAGCUAGUUGGUGGGGUAACGGCUCACCAAGGCGACGAUGCGUAGCUGGUCUGAGAGGACGAUCAGCCACACUGGGACUGAGACACGGCCCAGACUCCUACGGGAGGCAGCAGUGGGGAAUCUUGCGCAAUGGGCGGAAGCCUGACGCAGCAACGCCGCGUGAGGGAAGACGGCCUCGGUGUAACUACUUC